AAACUGGCUAUAGCUCCACCCUCGUGAUCACGUGACUUUUUUACUUCUGUUUAGUCACAACCCUUGUCCUUGUCAAAAAUCAGAAAGUCUUGAAAGUGUAUUUUAAUUUUUAGUGGAAAAUUUCUUCAAUAGGAAGUGGCAGACCUGGAUUAUCCAACAUAUUAAAUACUUUUCUCAAAGUACCAAUUUAUACAGUCGUGAGAGGUUUGAAAAUGGUUCGUACCUACUACAGAAAGACUGAAAAGGUGCCUAGAGAAAUAUUGAUUGGUGCACUGAGGCACUUGAAAUUACUCGAUAAUCUUAAUUUGCAAAAGA
Daphnia pulicaria is the source of this 315-nucleotide long non-coding RNA. RefSeq lists it as uncharacterized. NCBI's taxonomy places the organism in Eukaryota, Metazoa, Arthropoda, Branchiopoda, Diplostraca, Daphniidae. The transcript is spliced from 3 exons. The record is from RefSeq and is a predicted model, not a curated record.